AAUCAAGCGCGAGAAGGGCGUUUGGUGGAUGCCUUGGCAGUAAGAGGCGAUGAAAGACGUGAUACUCUGCGAUAAGCCAUGGGGAGCUGAGAAUAAGCUUUGAUCCAUGGAUUUCUGAAUGGGGCAACCCACCUGAUAUUCUGUUAUUGUUACCCGCAAGGGUGAUCAAUAAUGGGGUAAAACAGGUACUUAUAGACUGAAUACAUAGGUUUAUAAGAGCAAACCCGGGGAACUGAAACAUCUAAGUACCCGGAGGAAAGGAAAUCAAUUGAUACUCCCCUAGUAGCGGCGAGCGAACGGGGACCAGCCGAGCCUUGAGAGUGACCAGAAUGCGUUGGAAAACGCGACCAUAGUGGGUGACAGUCCCGUAUGGGUAGCUCGAUAGGACGUAUUAAGUAGGGCGGAACACGUGAAAUUCUGUCUGAAGAUCGGAGGACCACCUUCGAAGGCUAAGUACUCCUUACUGACCGAUAGCGAACCAGUACCGUGAGGGAAAGGUGAAAAGCACCCCGACGAGGGGAGUGAAACAGUACCUGAAACCGAACGCCUACAAUCAGUCGGAGCUUGACUGGACUCUAAUGACAAUCGUGAUUGUCUGUUGUAGCCGUUGAAUUAGGUUGUCAUUAGUGUCCAGUCUUGUGACGGCGUACCUUUUGUAUAAUGGGUCAUCGACUUGGUCUCACGAGCAAGCUUAAGCCGAUAGGUGUAGGCGUAGCGAAAGCGAGUCUUAAUAGGGCGAAUGAGUUCGUGGGAUCAGACCCGAAACCGAGUGAUCUAGGCAUGGCCAGGUUGAAGGUUAGGUAACACUAACUGGAGGACCGAACCCACAUCCGUUGAAAAGGAUCGGGAUGAGCUGUGCCUAGGGGUGAAAGGCCAAUCAAACUCGGAGAUAGCUGGUUCUCUGCGAAAUCUAUUUAGGUAGAGCGUCAUCCGAAUACCCCGGGGGGUAGAGCACUGGAUGGGUAAUGGGGCCUUACCGGCUUACUGAUCCUAACCAAACUCCGAAUACCCGGGAGUACUAGAUGGCAGACACACGGCGAAUGCUAACGUCCGUCGUGAAGAGGGAAACAACCCUGACCUACAGCUAAGGCCCCCAAUUCAUGGCUAAGUGGGAAAGCAGGUGGGACGACCAAAACAACCAGGAGGUUGGCUUAGAAGCAGCCAUCCUUUAAAGAUAGCGUAACAGCUCACUGGUCUAAAUAAGUUGUCCUGCGGCGAAGAUGUAACGGGGCUCAAGCCAUGAGCCGAAGCUUAGGAUGCCGUAAGGCAUGGUAGCAGAGCGUAGUGUGACAUAGUAUCUAUCCUCUUUAGCCUUCUUCGGAAGGUCAUGGAGGACAUGAUGCUUUCUGUGAAGCCGGCCUGUGAGGGAUCCGGUGGAGAGAUCACUAGUGAGAAUGAUGACAUGAGUAGCGACAAACAGGGUGAGAGACCCUGUCGCCGAAAGUCCAAGGGUUCCUGCUUAAAGCUAAUCUGAGCAGGGUAAGCCGACCCCUAAGGCGAGGCCGAAAGGCGUAGUCGAUGGGAACCAGGUUAAUAUUCCUGGGCCAGUAAGAAGUGACGGAUCUCGAAGGUAGUUCAUCCUUAUCGGAUUGAAUGGGCUGCUUAGAGGUUCCUGGAAAUAGCUCUUACAUAAGAUCGUACCCUAAACCGACACAGGUGGACUGGUAGAGAAUACCAAGGCGCUUGAGAGAACUAUGUUGAAGGAACUCGGCAAAAUACCUCCGUAAGUUCGCGAGAAGGAGGCCCGGUUUCUAGGCAACUAGAGGCUGGGGGCACAAACCAGGGGGUGGCGACUGUUUACUAAAAACACAGGGCUCUGCGAAGUCGCAAGACGACGUAUAGGGUCUGACGCCUGCCCGGUGCCGGAAGGUUAAAAGGAGAGGUGAGAGCUUUGAAUUGAAGCCCCGGUAAACGGCGGCCGUAACUAUAACGGUCCUAAGGUAGCGAAAUUCCUUGUCGGGUAAGUUCCGACCUGCACGAAUGGCGUAACGACUUCCCCGCUGUCUCCAACAUAGACUCAGCGAAAUUGAAUUGCCUGUCAAGAUGCAGGCUUCCCGCGGUUAGACGGAAAGACCCCGUGCACCUUUACUACAGCUUCACACUGGCAUCAGGCCAAGCAUGUGCAGGAUAGGUGGUAGACUUUGAAGCAGGGACGCUAGUCCUUGUGGAGUCAUCCUUGAGAUACCACCCUUGCUUUGCUUGAUGUCUAACCGCGGUCCGUUAUCCGGAUCCGGGACCCUGUGUGGCGGGUAGUUUGACUGGGGCGGUCGCCUCCUAAAGAGUAACGGAGGCGCGCGAAGGUUGGCUCAGACCGGUCGGAAAUCGGUCGUUGAGUGCAAUGGCAGAAGCCAGCCUGACUGCGAGACUGACAAGUCGAGCAGAGACGAAAGUCGGUCAUAGUGAUCCGGUGGUCCCAAGUGGGAGGGCCAUCGCUCAACGGAUAAAAGGUACGCCGGGGAUAACAGGCUGAUACUGCCCAAGAGUCCAUAUCGACGGCAGUGUUUGGCACCUCGAUGUCGGCUCAUCUCAUCCUGGGGCUGGAGCAGGUCCCAAGGGUACGGCUGUUCGCCGUUUAAAGAGGUACGUGAGCUGGGUUUAGAACGUCGUGAGACAGUUCGGUCCCUAUCUGCCGUGGGUGUAGGAUACUUGAGAGGAGUUGCCCCUAGUACGAGAGGACCGGGGUGAACGAUCCACUGGUGUACCAGUUGUUCCGCCAGGAGCAGUGCUGGGUAGCUAUGAUCGGACAGGAUAACCGCUGAAGGCAUCUAAGCGGGAAGCCCCCCUCAAAACAAGGUAUCCCUGAGGGCCGAGGUAGACCACCUCGUCGAUAGGCCGGAGAUGUAAGUGCAGUAAUGCAUUCAGUUGACCGGUACUAAUUGCCCGAUAGGCUUGAUUUG
This 2897-nucleotide ribosomal RNA is filed under the name Thalassovita taeanensis. Its description in RNAcentral is "bacterial LSU rRNA". It matches the Rfam family "Bacterial large subunit ribosomal RNA". Lineage: Bacteria; Pseudomonadati; Pseudomonadota; Alphaproteobacteria; Rhodobacterales; Roseobacteraceae. The record is from RNAcentral.